AGACACCCACGAAGAUCCCCAAUAUAGAUAAAGAGAAAUCGGCAUUAUUCAUUAAGCUGAAAAAGUAACUGGCAAUU
RNAcentral lists this transfer RNA (77 nucleotides) under Shewanella piezotolerans WP3. Its description in RNAcentral is "tRNA-Met". The record is from RNAcentral. Lineage: Bacteria; Pseudomonadati; Pseudomonadota; Gammaproteobacteria; Alteromonadales; Shewanellaceae.